AUGGGGAACGCUCUGGCCGGCAGGCGGCGCGCGGCGAAGGUGAUGACGGUGGACGGCGCCACGUUCCGGUACAAGACGCCCGCGGCGGCCGGCGCGGCGCUGCGCGGCCACCCGGGCCACCAGCUGCUGGAGUCGGAGGAGGUGCGGCGGCUCGGCGUCCGCGCCCGCCCGCUCGACCGCGACGCCGCGCUCAAGCCGGGCAAGCUCUACUUCCUCGUGCAUCUCCCGCCCGGCGGAGCCGGCGGGCGCGGCGGCGACGAGGGCCUGCGCGCGCCGCACAAGACGUGGUCCGGCGCGCUGCACGUGGGCGCCCGGGAGCGGCUGGAGAGCCUGAUGCUGUCGCGCCGCACCGUGUCGGACGUGGCGUCCCUGAUGCCCUCCGCCGGCGGGGAGUCGUCGUCCGUGGAGGCCGGCGCGGACGGCGCGGUGCGGCUGCGGAUGCGGCUGCCCAAGGCGGAGGUGGCGCGGCUGAUGAAGGAGAGCAGGGACCCCGCGGAGGCCGCCGAGCGGAUCAUGCAGCUCUGCGUCGCCAGGGACCAGGGGGGCGCCGCUGCCGCGCCGGCCAAGCCCGCCCCGCUGCCGGCCUCCGCGCUGUGCACCAACAAGACCGCCAUGAAGAAAGAGAAACGGACGAGGUUCAUGGCGGUGCCGGACGAGAUCAUCGGAUGA
This 669-nucleotide ribosomal RNA is filed under the name Triticum aestivum (bread wheat). RNAcentral describes it as "partial small subunit ribosomal RNA". The record is from RNAcentral. Lineage: Eukaryota; Viridiplantae; Streptophyta; Magnoliopsida; Poales; Poaceae.